This 1285-nucleotide long non-coding RNA is filed under the name Salvia miltiorrhiza (redroot sage). Its description in RNAcentral is "long non-coding RNA (SMIL_LNC008931)". Lineage: Eukaryota; Viridiplantae; Streptophyta; Magnoliopsida; Lamiales; Lamiaceae. The record is from RNAcentral.
UAACAAGUAUUGGUUGUGAAUUCAAGUUUUAAAGUUUGAAUUCACAACUAUAAAUAGUGUUAGUUGUGAAUUCGCGUGAAUUCACAGCCCACACUAUUUCAAGUUGUGAAUUCACAACCGAUAAAACUUGAAUUCACAAUCAAUAUUUUUUCAAGUUGUGAAUUCACAACCAACGCCGAUAAUUCAGUUGUGAAUUCAUAAACUUGGUUGUGAAUUCAAGAACAUUUGUACAAAAUUGAGCGAUUUUCAUCAAUUUCUUCAAUCUGUGAUCCAAUAUACUUAGUAUUCAAUCAAAGCAAAGCUUAUGCAGAAAAUUUAUUACAUUUUCUUUCUUGAAACGAAAUACAUCGCUUGUAAACAUCAAAAAUCCCCAAAAUAAGAAAAAUUUAAAAAAGCCCCAAGUUCAUCUCAAAUUAGGGCAUGAUUUCCCCAAAUCAGGAAACUAAAUCAAAAACUAAAUCACCAGAGACUUCACGCGAUUAUUUUCUUCGUGAUUAUAUUUCUUCUUGAAUUACAAUACGAAAUGUUAUGAAACAAACUAGUAAAGUGAUAUAGAUCCAGCAACUACUUAUGAUGCAAACAAGUAGAUCAAGAAUUAUUAGGAAAUCUUAGUAAUAAUCGAAGACGUCAAAUUCCAGAAAAGAUUACAAGCUGCUAUUGAUGUAUGAUUUUUGGUGGAAGGCAGCUGCAAAAGCAUCCAUUUUAAGCGGUGUCAUGGACAUGCAGAUCUCAACUCCCCCGUCUCUUUCCUUAGUAAAAUAAUAGAGACUUCGGCCUCUGCGACGCGGGCUCUGCAGAUCCGGCGGCGAUGCAGAUCCGGGGCGACGGCGUGGUGAAGGACGGGGCGGCGCGGCGCGGCCGAGGCCAGGCUCCGCUGGACGCGAUCGGAAGCAGAUAUCGAGAGAGAUAGAGAGAGAGAGAGAAAUCGGCGUUGAGGCGGCGGCGUGGUGAAGGACGGAGUUGGCGGUGGCCGUGUUGAGGCGGCGGCGUGGUGAAGGAUGGAGUUGAUGGUGGCCGUGGGAGCAUGCGGCGGCGCUGCUUGGAAGAGAAAGAUCGAGAAAAAGAGAGAGAAGAGAGAGGGCCAGCCGUGUAGAGAGAGAGAGGAGAGAGCGGAUAGAGAGAGAGAGAGAAAUGAGAUAAUGAAAGAAAAUUAGGGUUUGCCCAUUUAUAUAGAAGGGUAAUUUAGUUCAUUCAACAAAAAAGUGGGUAAAAUUUUAAGUUUUAAUUUGAGUGGGUAAAAUUUAUUUUUGUUAUAAGAAAAUGGGUACUUUGAUAUAUUAGCACU